GCCUGGCUGGCUCAGUCAGUAGAGCAUGGGACUCUUAAUCUCACAGUUGUGAGUUUAAGCCUCCACACUGGGCG
Molecule: transfer RNA, 74 nt
Filed under: Ailuropoda melanoleuca (giant panda)
Lineage: Eukaryota; Metazoa; Chordata; Mammalia; Carnivora; Ursidae
Rfam family: tRNA
About the family: Transfer RNA (tRNA) molecules are approximately 80 nucleotides in length. Their secondary structure includes four short double-helical elements and three loops (D, anti-codon, and T loops).
Source: Rfam by way of RNAcentral